CUUAAUAUUCAAGUACUAAGCUUUCGCCAUAGUAAGAUUCGCAAAUUCUCGUCAAGGAAUGGAUUUUCGUAACAGACUCUAUAAAAUAAGCUGUGUAUGUGUGUACAACUGUGGAAACGAAGAAGAAAAAUCAGCAUAAGGAAACAUAAUUAAACCAAUAAAUGGACACUUGAUGGAGUCCAGAUGAAUGAAUACCAGAUGGACAGGGACUGGCUGGAUGCUCCCUAGAGGACUAUAAACUGGACCAAAAUGACAGAGGUCAGAGUUCAGAAUGACAGGUCAAGAACUGCUAAUUGAGAGGCGAUUUCCUCUUUCUCCCCAGUGACCACUGAGGGCGGACGACACUGAGGUCCCUAAAACGUCAGCAUGGUAAUGAACACAUGACCAUUCAUAGAGACCAGACACUGAGAGGUAACCGCUAAGAAAAUUACACACAGGCGAACGUCCCGCCCCUCCUGUUCUUCAGGCUCCACACUUGGCAAAAUGAAGGGUCUGAUCUAACAAGGGCUCUUUCAUCUGCUGAGAAAAGCAGUAUCUGUUCA
This is a long non-coding RNA of Cyprinus carpio carpio, 542 nucleotides long. Lineage: Eukaryota; Metazoa; Chordata; Actinopteri; Cypriniformes; Cyprinidae. The record is from Ensembl.